UGAGUAACACGUAGGUAAUGUACCUUUGGGUGGGGAAUAACUUAGGGAAACUUAAGCUAAUACCGCAUAAUGCAGCGGCUCCUUCGGGAGACAGUUGUUAAAGAUUUAUCGCCUAAAGAGCAGCCUGCGGCAGAUUAGCUAGUUGGUAAGGUAGCGGCUUACCAAGGCUACGAUCUGUAUCCGACCUGAGAGGGUGGUCGGACACACUGACACUGAAUAACGGGUCAG
This 228-nucleotide ribosomal RNA is filed under the name uncultured bacterium. RNAcentral's name for it is "partial 16S ribosomal RNA". It matches the Rfam family "Bacterial small subunit ribosomal RNA", at positions 107 to 334 of the family's 1533-position model. The record is from RNAcentral.